This 253-nucleotide ribosomal RNA is filed under the name uncultured bacterium. Its description in RNAcentral is "partial 16S ribosomal RNA". It matches the Rfam family "Bacterial small subunit ribosomal RNA", at positions 524 to 776 of the family's 1533-position model. The record is from RNAcentral.
UACGGAGGGUGCGAGCGUUAAUCGGAAUUACUGGGCGUAAAGCGUGCGUAGGCGGUUUGAUAAGUCGGGUGUGAAAGCCCCGGGCUUAACCUGGGAACUGCAUUUGAGACUGCUCUGCUCGGGUGCGGAAGAGGGAAGCGGAAUUUCCGGUGUAGCGGUGAAAUACGUAGAUAUCGGAAGGAACACCAGUGGCGAAAGCGGCUUCCUGGUCCGACACCGACGUUCAGGCACGAAAGCGUGGGGAGCAAACAGG